GAUCCGCGGAUAUCUGAAUGGGGCAACCCCACGGGUGCAGACCCGUGACUCCGUAAAGGAGAGGAACCCGGUGAAGUGAAACAUCUCAGUAGCCGGAGGAAAAGAAAUCGAAGAGAUCCCCCCAGUAGUGGUGAGCGAACAGGGGCCAGCCUAAACCCCCGCAGUGCAAGGCAGCAGCCGUUGCUGCGGAGGGAGUUGCGGGACAGUCGAGGAAGCGCUGCUGAGCUUCCGCAGAGUAAGAAAAGCUCGGGUUAGUCGAAUCGUGUUGGAAAAGCGAGCCGCAGAACGUGAAAGCCGCGUAGACGAAAACCCGAUCCCUCUGAAGACCGAAUCCCAAGUAGAGCGGAGCACGAGAAAUUCCGUUUGAAUCCGGGCCGCCCAUGGUCCAAGGCUAAAUACUGUAAGUGACCGAUAGCGCAUAGUACCGAGAGGGAAAGGUGAAAAGCACCCCGGGAGGGGAGUGAAAGAGACCUGAAAUCGUAUGCCUACAAGCAGUUGGAGCUGGAAAUACAGCGAUGUAUGGAAAGUGACAGCGUGCCUAUUGAAAAAUGAGCCGGCGAGAUAUUGCAUGCAGCGAGGUUAAGGGAUGAAGUUCCGGAGCCGAAGCGAAAGCGAGUUCGAAGAGAGCGCGAAGUUGCCUGCAAUAAACCCGAAGCCUGACGAUCUAGCCAUGGGCAGGUUGAAGUGGGGGUGAAACCCCAUGGAGGACCGCACCAGUGCCUGUUGAAAAAGUCUUGGAUGACCUGUGGUUAGGAGUGAAAAGCUAAUCGAGUUAGGUAAUAGCUGGUUCUCCCCGAAAUGCAUUGAGGUGCAGCCUUGAUGGAUUCGUGACGGAGGUAGAGCGACUGACAGCUCAAGCGGUCCUGGGGGAUUUGCGCGAGCCAUCAAACUCCGAAUGCCGCCACGUAGAAAUCAGGAGUGAGACCGCGGGUGAUAAGGUUCGUGGUCGAAAGGGAAACAGCCCAGAUCAUCAGCUAAGGCCCCGAAGAGCAUGCUAAGUGUGACAAGGAUGUAGGGACCCCGAAACAGCCAGGAGGUUGGCUCAGAAGCAGCCAUCCUUUAAAGAGUGCGUAACAGCUCACUGGUCGAGGACCCCCGCGCCGAAAAUGUAGGGGGCUAAGCAUGCCGCCGAAGCUAUGGGAUAGAGCAAUCUAUCGGUAGGGGAGCGUAGUCAGCGGGACGAAGCGAAAUUGUAAAGUUUCGUGGACAGCUGAGUAGUGAGAAUGCCGGCAUGAGUAACGACAUAUUUGCGAGAAUCAAAUACACCGGAAGACCAAGGAUUCCUGGGGAAGGUUGAUCCGCCCAGGGUAAGGCGGGGCCUAAGUCAAGGCUGAAAAGCGUAGAUGAUGGACAGCAGGUUGAAAUUCCUGCCCCGCGAUAAGUUCGCUACGACCGAAGCAGCGACGCAGAAAGCUAGACAGGCCGGCUGAUGGAAGAGCCAGUCCAAGGAAGCAGGCUGGGGCGACAGUCAAGCACAUCGCCCCGUCAAGGCCGAGAUCCGAGAGGGAGCCUCAUUUCGAGGCGAAGCUGUUGAAGCUCCGCUGCCAGGAAAACCUGCUAGGGAGAACUUAUGGCGCCCGUACCCGAAACCGACACAGGUGGUCAAGCUGAGCAAGCUAAGGUGAGUGGAAUAACUCUCGUUAAGGAACUCUGCAAGUUAACUCCGUAACUUAGGGAGAAGGAGUGCUGCCCCCGUCAAUCGUAAGGUGAAGCGGGGAGCAGCCACAGAAACCAGGCUCAAGCGACUGUUUACCAAAAACACAGGACUCUGCAUAAGACGCAAGUCGAAGUAUAGAGUCUGACGCCUGCCCGGUGCUGGAAGGUUAAAUGGAAGAGUGAGCCGCAAGGCGCAGCUUGGAAAUGAAGCCCCAGUAAACGGCGGCCGUAACUAUAACGGUCCUAAGGUAGCGAAAUUCCUUGUCGGGUAAGUUCCGACCUGCACGAAUGGCGUAACGAUUUGAGCGCUGUCUCAACGAGAGAUCCAGUGAAAUUGUGGUACCGGUCAAGACGCCGGUUCCCCGUGGUAGGACGGAAAGACCCCAUGGAGCUUUACUGUAGCCUGAUACUGAUAUUUGAAAUCACAUGCACAGGAUAGGUGGGAGGCGGAGAAGAGAGAGCUUUGGCUUUCUUGGAGCCAUCGUUGGGAUACCACUCUUGUGAUUUCGAAUGUCUAACUUUAGCGUCUGAAUCGACGAAGAGGACACAGUCAGGCGGGCAGUUUGACUGGGGCGGUCGCCUCCCAAAGAGUAACGGAGGCGCGCAAAGGUCAACUCAUGGCGAAUGGAAACCGCCAAGAGAGCGCAAGGGUAUAAGUUGGCUUAACUGCGAGAGAGACAUUUCGAGCAGAGACGAAAGUCGGUCCUAGUGAUCCGGCGGUGCUGAAUGGAAAGGCCGUCGCUCAUCGGAUAAAAGCUACCCUGGGGAUAACAGGCUGAUCUCCCCCGAGAGUUCCCAUCGACGGGGAGGUUUGGCACCUCGAUGUCGGCUCGUCGCAUCCUGGGGCUGUAGCAGGUCCCAAGGGUUGGUCUGUUCGCCCAUUAAAGCGGUACGCGAGCUGGGUUCAAAACGUCGUGAGACAGUUUGGUCCCUAUCCACCACGGGCGCAAGAUAUUUGAGGGGAGCUGCUCCUAGUACGAGAGGACCGGAGUGGACGUACCACUGGUGUAUCUGUUGUGGCGCCAGCCGCAUCAGCAGAGUAGCCAAGUACGGCCCGGAUAACCGCUGAAGGCAUCUAAGCGGGAAACCGCCCCCAAGAUGAGAUAUCUCAUACCAGAAGGUAGUAAGGUGUCCCCGAGACGAGGGGUUCGAUAGGCCGGGAAUGGAAGCGUUGCGAGACGUUGAGUUAACCGGUACUAAUACACCGAGGCCUUAACCUG
This 2876-nucleotide ribosomal RNA is filed under the name Pyramidobacter sp. C12-8. RNAcentral describes it as "bacterial LSU rRNA". It matches the Rfam family "Bacterial large subunit ribosomal RNA". Lineage: Bacteria; Thermotogati; Synergistota; Synergistia; Synergistales; Dethiosulfovibrionaceae. The record is from RNAcentral.